RNAcentral lists this unclassified non-coding RNA (254 nucleotides) under uncultured Xylariales. Its description in RNAcentral is "sequence contains 5.8S rRNA gene, ITS2, 28S rRNA gene". Lineage: Eukaryota; Fungi; Ascomycota; Sordariomycetes; Xylariales. The record is from RNAcentral.
AACGCACAUUGCGCCCAUUAGUAUUCUAGUGGGCAUGCCUGUUCGAGCGUCAUUUCAACCCUUAAGCCCUUGUUGCUUAGUGUUGGGUGCCUACGCGCCAGCGUAGCUCCUCAAAGUUAGUGGCAGAGUCAGCUCAAGCUCUAGGUGUAGUAAAUCUUUUUCUCGCCUCUGUAGCUUGGCUGCCCCUCGCCAUAAAACACCCAAAAUUUUAAAAGGUUGACCUCGGAUCAGGUAGGAAUACCCGCUGAACUUAA